GAGACAGGCUCUUGCCACAUUGCCUAGGCUGGUCUCAAACUCCUGGGCUCAGAUGAUCCACCGGCCUUCGCCUCCCAAAGCACUGGGACAUGAGCCACCACGCCCAGCCGCAAGUACUUUUACACAAAAUGCAAACACUAUUCUUCCAUCGUAAAAGUGAUACCACAGCUUCUGUGAAGUUUUGCCAGGUGUAGUACUCAUAAUUACCUUGGGUAAACUUUUUGAUGUUAAACUGUAUCUUCUUCUUACAAGUUUUUCCAUUGUAUUAACUGCUUUUACAACAACACAAAUAACAAGUUAUUUUACAA
Molecule: long non-coding RNA, 308 nt
Filed under: Homo sapiens (human)
Lineage: Eukaryota; Metazoa; Chordata; Mammalia; Primates; Hominidae
Description: HSALNT0229501
Source: RNAcentral